RNAcentral lists this transfer RNA (73 nucleotides) under Patescibacteria group bacterium. RNAcentral's name for it is "tRNA-Thr". It matches the Rfam family "tRNA". Rfam says of the family: Transfer RNA (tRNA) molecules are approximately 80 nucleotides in length. The record is from RNAcentral.
GCCAGCGUAGCUCAGUUGGUAGAGCAGGCGCUUCGUAAGCGUCAGGUCGUCGGUUCGACCCCGACCGCUGGCU